Molecule: small RNA, 458 nt
Filed under: Pongo abelii (Sumatran orangutan)
Lineage: Eukaryota; Metazoa; Chordata; Mammalia; Primates; Hominidae
Description: processed transcript
Source: RNAcentral
AAAGAGGCUUCUCCAACCCGACCCGGCCCUUCCUUCCCCUUUGCCGCAGUGGUUGCCUCCUCCUCCCCUUCCUCCUCCUCUGGCUGCUUAGUCUCACACCCGCCGGGCCGUUGCUCCCGAGACGUUGUUGAGUUCCCUGUGUCCUCUUCUGGGAGCUAGAUAAGGGCCUGGUUCAACUUCUCAGUAUUCAGGGAAUAGAUUCCCUGCUUACUCCCUUCCUUCCUUUGGAUGCCACAAAAUGAGCACUUGACUGAAAGUAUGCUUAUAUGCGUUUUUACAGACUACGCCAAGCCACAGCAAAUCCCUGAUUGCAGUAUAACUAACUAAAUAAAUUGCACAGGACUUGUGUACAUCAACUCCCAGCAAAGUCCAAAGAUCAAAGUUGAAAGAGGAUACUGAAUUCCUUCCCAGAUUUCUGGGACACUGCUUCUGUGGACUGUCACCAAAUAAAUCCUGGA